Arachis duranensis is the source of this 1353-nucleotide long non-coding RNA. RefSeq lists it as uncharacterized. The record is from RefSeq and is a predicted model, not a curated record. Lineage: Eukaryota; Viridiplantae; Streptophyta; Magnoliopsida; Fabales; Fabaceae. The transcript is spliced from 2 exons.
AGGAUUCUGCCUCUUUCUUUUUCCUUUUCUAUUUGCACUGAUGACUCUGCCUCAUUCCCAAAGCUCGUGAUGCUUUCUUUGUGUUUCCGUAGGUACUAAUGAUUAUACGAUGGAGUAGAAGAUUUUGAUGACUUGUUGACUAAAUUUGACAAGAAGAAGGGACAGUGUAUAAUGAACCAUACUUGUAAAUUGCCAAUGAAUUGGGAUUAAAGAUUCUUUUUGAUUGUGUGGAAAAUUGCAAAUCUAAUCCCCACAGGUGGCUUCUCUAUAAUUAAUUGUUAUUGUAAUCAAUUCUUUAUUUUGCCUGAAUCGUAUUCCUGUAAACAUUAAUCGAAUAAAGAUUGAUUUGAAGUUUAACUUGCUUGGCAUGAAAUUGAUUUGAAGAUGUAGUAUGUAAUUUGCUUGGGUUGUAAAUAAGAUUUUAGCUGACUAAAUAAGUUCUGUCCGUUCUUACUUAAUUAUAUUCUAAUUUCAUGUAUCUAGAAAUCUCCUAGGAGAAGAAUUGAUAACUUAGAUUUUAAUGAGAUUGAACGGCCUGAGCAUUGGCUGGACUCUUCAUUGAAGCAAAUUAGGCCUAACAAGUAACAAGGUAUGCAAAUUUAGUAGCCGACUCUUAUCAACUUUAUAUUGAGUUCACUGGGCUAAUAUCAUUAUGGUAAUUAGAAAUUAUGUUGGUUGAUUACCUUUAAUUUGUUCAUAGUUGCUUAUAUGUGAUAGUAGUUUAUCGGGAUUUGGUGGUAUAUAUACAGCUAGCUUUGAAGAUUUUCACUUAGUAGUUUUUGGUAUAUUGAAUGCUUCACUAACAAAGGAAUUUCGCAGUGUAAUUUUUUCCAUUUAUUUAUUAAAUUAUUGAGACAGAUAUGGACUUCAAGAUUAAGCUUUUUACAAUUGAUGGCAAAAGAGUGAAGUUUACUAUUUGGGACACAGGUUUUCUUACAAAAAAUAAGAAUCAAUGGGCAUAAGCAACUGGUGGAAAGGCGAGAUGUAGAAAGAUAUGAUGUGUUGAAAGAGAAGAGUCAGAAAGUGAAGUUGAUGAUAAUCCUGAAGCCUUCAAGUGCUAACAAAACAUCAGAACUGCGCAAUGAUCUCUUAUUAAUUGGAAAGAAAGUUUGGGUCAUAAAGUAAAACUUAUUCAGGAUGAGUUUGAUAAAGAUCCUCGGGAGAAUGGUUCUAAGGAUGAAAAUGGUUCCAAAGAUGCUCAUCGUAUUUGCCUUUUUUUUCCCCCCUUUUUAAGUACAUGUAUUUUGUUAAGGGUCGUUUAUUUAAUUAAUUUGCCAUAUUUUGUUAUGUGAAUUAAAGAGUUAUAAUAAUAUAUUUUAACUUGAUAAUAUAUAUUCAAGUAGAAUAAGUUGA